RNAcentral lists this ribosomal RNA (433 nucleotides) under uncultured bacterium. RNAcentral describes it as "partial 16S ribosomal RNA". It matches the Rfam family "Bacterial small subunit ribosomal RNA", at positions 29 to 507 of the family's 1533-position model. The record is from RNAcentral.
AACGAACGCUGGCGGCAUGCCUAACACAUGCAAGUCGAACGGGCCUUUCUGUUCUGGUGGCGCCCGGGUGGUUAACAAGUGGUAGCCUGCCGUUCGUUUCGUCAUAACUACCCGGGAGAACUGCUACUAACGCCUGAUGUCUUCGGGCCCAAGAUUUAUCGUCUUUGGAUGGGCCCGCGUUGGAUUAGCUAGUUGGUAGGGUAAGAGCCUACCCAGGCGACGAUCCCUAGCUGGUCUGAGAGGAUGAUCAGCCACACUGGGACUGAGACACGGCCCAGACUCCUACGGGAGGCAGCAGUGGGGAAUAUUGGACAAUGGGCGAAAGCCUGAUCCAGCCAUGCCGCGUGAGUGAUGAAGGCCUUAGGGUUGUAAAGCUCUUUUACCCGGGAUGAUAAUGACAGUACCGGGAGAAUAAGCUCCGGCUAACUCCGUG